UACAGAGGGGGCAAGCGUUGUUCGGAAUUACUGGGCGUAAAGGGCGCGUAGGCGGCCGCCUAAGUCAGACGUGAAAUCCCUCGGCUUAACCGGGGAACUGCGUCUGAUACUGGAUGGCUAGAGGUUGGGAGAGGGAUGCGGAAUUCCAGGUGUAGCGGUGAAAUGCGUAGAUAUCGUGAGGAACACUAGUGGCGAAGGCGAGACUCUGGACAGUUCCUGACGCUGAGGCACGAAGGCCAGGGGAGCAAACGGG
This 253-nucleotide ribosomal RNA is filed under the name uncultured bacterium. RNAcentral describes it as "partial 16S ribosomal RNA". It matches the Rfam family "Bacterial small subunit ribosomal RNA", at positions 524 to 776 of the family's 1533-position model. The record is from RNAcentral.